GUGAUCCUGAGCCUUUCCCGUCGGGAGAGCGCUGCGGCGAGGCUGCCGAGGAGCUGCGCUGAGCCGGGGCUGCGUUACCUUCAGCAGAGGCUCUGUCCAUAAAGCACCCGUGUGCGCCCAGGACAGGAUUUAUGGAUUGAGCCUUCCCGGUUCCUGGAGCGGCUGCUGCCUCCCGGCCGCCGCUGCGGCUGCUGCCGGCGCCGGGCCCGCGGUGCAAGUUCAAGGCCUCUCGGAGCAAUCUUUUCCUAAUAAAGAGCCUAAUCGAAACGCUCCUUCCCCCGCCUCGGCGGGAAGGGCCGCGGAAGAGGCUGCGGAGGUUCAGAGCCGCCGCGGAUCGAUGGAGAGAAGCCCGGAUUGAUCGGCCUCUAAAAUUAAAUUUAUUGGGGUCAUGGUUUUAUAUGGUGCUGAUACAACUGUUAAAUGGGGAACAUUCAUUUCCAAUAGGAGGCGUUUAUUAAACUUCCACUGAAUUAGA
This is a long non-coding RNA of Cyanistes caeruleus (blue tit), 475 nucleotides long. RefSeq lists it as uncharacterized. Lineage: Eukaryota; Metazoa; Chordata; Aves; Passeriformes; Paridae. The record is from RefSeq and is a predicted model, not a curated record.